Molecule: non-coding RNA, 209 nt
Organism: Pelobates cultripes (western spadefoot toad)
Lineage: Eukaryota; Metazoa; Chordata; Amphibia; Anura; Pelobatidae
Source: the annotation of a GenBank genome assembly
GUCAGCAUGUCUGUGUCAAUAUGUUUGUAUGUCAGCAUGUCUGUGUGUCAGUAUGUCUGUGUGUGUGUGCGCAUUUCAGUGUGUAUAUAUCUCUGUGUGUGUGUGUGUAUAUGUGCAUACAUCUCAGCAUUCACACACUAACACUACACACAAAUACACCCCUGCAUUCAAAUUUCAACACUACGUACAAACACAUGUCUGUGUUACAC